Molecule: unclassified non-coding RNA, 273 nt
Filed under: Hevea brasiliensis (rubber tree)
Lineage: Eukaryota; Viridiplantae; Streptophyta; Magnoliopsida; Malpighiales; Euphorbiaceae
Source: RNAcentral
UGACUCAAAGGAGCGAGUAUUUUAAGGUUAGGGUUUGAGUUAGUAGUGAGACGAGGAGGUGGUGGUUGGGAUUGGGAAUUUUUAUCCAUGGAUUUUGAUUUGGAGGAAGGAGGACGUACAGAAACGCUGGGAGAGGAAUUGAGAGAGGAUGUGGCCGUAAAUGGCCGACCACGACGGAGCAGCUCUGAUAUUGUGAGUAGCUCCACAGCUUCUUCCAUUUUGCUAGAAUUUUCAAGCGAAAUUAGAUUGGGAUGUGAUAGGCGAAGAGUGAAG